GGAUGUGAGGGCGAUCUGGCUGCGACAUCUGUCACCCCAUUGAUCGCCAGGGUUGAUUUGGCUGAUCUGUCUGCCUAGGUGGGUGUCCCCUUCCUCCUUCACUGCUCCAUCUGCGUCCCUCCUGAAGCUGCGCGCUUGGUGGAAGAGGAGGACCAUCCCCGAUAGAGGAGGACCGUUCUUCGGUCAAGGGUAUACGAGUAGCUGCGCUCCCCUGCUAGAACCUCCAAAAAAAACAAGCUCUCAAAUGAUAGAUCUCAUGGUCUAGUUCCUGGUGAUUUUCCUAAAAAUGAUUUGGCCAAAAAUAU
This 305-nucleotide small nuclear RNA is filed under the name Castor canadensis (American beaver). RNAcentral describes it as "7SK RNA (ENSCCNG00000006711.1)". It matches the Rfam family "7SK RNA". Rfam says of the family: 7SK was discovered as an abundant small nuclear RNA in the mid-70s but a possible function has only recently been suggested. The record is from Rfam by way of RNAcentral. Lineage: Eukaryota; Metazoa; Chordata; Mammalia; Rodentia; Castoridae.